GUACACUCCUGCGGGAGGCAGCAGUGGGGAAUAUUGGACAAUGGGCGCAAGCCUGAUCCAGCCAUGCCGCGUGAGUGAUGAAGGCCCUAGGGUUGUAAAGCUCUUUCACCGGUGAAGAUAAUGACGGUAACCGGAGAAGAAGCCCCGGCUAACUUCGUGCCAGCAGCCGCGGUAAUACGAAGGGGGCUAGCGUUGUUCGGAUUUACUGGGCGUAAAGCGCACGUAGGCGGACUAUUAAGUCAGGGGUGAAAUCCCGGGGCUCAACCCCGGAACUGCCUUUGAUACUGGUAGUCUUGAGUUCGAGAGAGGUGAGUGGAAUUCCGAGUGUAGAGGUGAAAUUCGUAGAUAUUCGGAGGAACACCAGUGGCGAAGGCGGCUCACUGGCUCGAUACUGACGCUGAGGUGCGAAAGCGUGGGGAGCAAACAGGAUUAGAUACCCGUGUAGUCCC
Molecule: ribosomal RNA, 449 nt
Filed under: uncultured organism
Description: partial 16S ribosomal RNA
Rfam family: Bacterial small subunit ribosomal RNA
Source: RNAcentral